Pelobates cultripes (western spadefoot toad) is the source of this 164-nucleotide non-coding RNA. Lineage: Eukaryota; Metazoa; Chordata; Amphibia; Anura; Pelobatidae. The record is from the annotation of a GenBank genome assembly.
CCUCAGCAGACACAUUCCAGCCAAUCAGCAGCAGACCCUCCCUCCCAGAUCCCCCACCUCCUGGACAGCAUCCAUUUUGAAGCUGCAUUCUUAGUGAGCUGUCCAGGAGGUGGGAGGGUCUGGGAGGGAGGGUCUGCUGCUGAUUGGCUGGAAUGUGUCUGCUG